Molecule: unclassified non-coding RNA, 549 nt
Filed under: Cladosporium macrocarpum
Lineage: Eukaryota; Fungi; Ascomycota; Dothideomycetes; Cladosporiales; Cladosporiaceae
Description: sequence contains 18S rRNA gene, ITS1, 5.8S rRNA gene, ITS2, 28S rRNA gene
Rfam family: 5.8S ribosomal RNA (bases 198-351)
Source: RNAcentral
CGUAACAAGGUCUCCGUAGGUGAACCUGCGGAGGGAUCAUUACAAGAACGCCCGGGCUUCGGCCUGGUUAUUCAUAACCCUUUGUUGUCCGACUCUGUUGCCUCCGGGGCGACCCUGCCUUCGGGCGGGGGCUCCGGGUGGACACUUCAAACUCUUGCGUAACUUUGCAGUCUGAGUAAACUUAAUUAAUAAAUUAAAACUUUUAACAACGGAUCUCUUGGUUCUGGCAUCGAUGAAGAACGCAGCGAAAUGCGAUAAGUAAUGUGAAUUGCAGAAUUCAGUGAAUCAUCGAAUCUUUGAACGCACAUUGCGCCCCCUGGUAUUCCGGGGGGCAUGCCUGUUCGAGCGUCAUUUCACCACUCAAGCCUCGCUUGGUAUUGGGCAACGCGGUCCGCCGCGUGCCUCAAAUCGUCCGGCUGGGUCUUCUGUCCCCUAAGCGUUGUGGAAACUAUUCGCUAAAGGGUGUUCGGGAGGCUACGCCGUAAAACAACCCCAUUUCUAAGGUUGACCUCGGAUCAGGUAGGGAUACCCGCUGAACUUAAGCAUAUC